CCUACGGGAGGCUGCAGUGGGGAAUAUUGCGCAAUGGGCGAAAGCCUGACGCAGCGACGCCGCGUGAGGGAUGAAGGUCUUCGGAUCGUAAACCUCUGUCAGCAGGGAAGCACGGUCACUGUGCUAAUCAGCAGUGAAUUGACGGUACCUGCAAAGGAAGCACCGGCGAACUCCGUGCCAGCAGCCGCGGUAAUACGGAGGGUGCGAGCGUUAAUCGGAAUUACUGGGCGUAAAGCGCUCGUAGGCGGUAUGUCAAGUCAAGGGUGAAAUCCCCGCGCUCAACGUGGGAACUGCCUUUGAAACUGGCAGACUGGAGUGUGUGAGAGGAUAGUGGAAUUCGAGGUGUAGGAGUGAAAUCCGUAGAUAUCUGGAGGAACAUCAGUGGCGAAGGCGACUAUCUGGCACAUAACUGACGCUGAGGAGCGAAAGCGUGGGUAGCAAACAGGAUUAGAUACCCGAGUAGUC
Molecule: ribosomal RNA, 465 nt
Filed under: uncultured bacterium
Lineage: Bacteria
Description: partial 16S ribosomal RNA
Rfam family: Bacterial small subunit ribosomal RNA
Source: RNAcentral